ACCCACAAUAAAUAAGUUUAUUAAUUUCAUCCAUGAAUAAUAACCCGAUUACCCGUUCCCGUUAUCCUCACUUUACGUCCCUAAACACCUAUCAUAAGGGACCUAGCCUAAGGAUCAUUAUCGGGACGGACACUACUGCUAAGGGGAUUCCUCAGCAAUAAAUGUCCUAAAGGCAACCAUGUGGGGGAUGGAGUACACCGGUGAACACAUCGUUCACAAACACCUACAGGUUGCGAGCCUGCUAGUGUUCCAAUGGACUGUCUAGAAGAGUCUGUGGUCGUCAUCCAUACUCCACUGGAUGACAAAAUCAACAACACCAACAUCGAGGCCUCUCAUCAUUUUAUCACACAUCACCUAUUACAUCUACCCAUGUUUUACCCCAACAUUUUCGUAGAUAUAAAAUACAUAUACAGUUUAAAUCAUUGAAAACAUGUAUAACAACGUUCAUCUAGCAUAGAUAGCAAGUAUUCAGAUAAUAUGCACACAUAGCACGUAAUUUAUAUAAAAUACUUCAUAUCUAUGUGUAAGUUGAAAGUAACUAUGCACUCACUUGUUAAGGUGAUGAUUCCAAAAUCGGGCAGCGCUUGCUUCUAACGAUUCUAUUUUCCUUCGACGAAACCUAGCAUUAUUAUCGCUAAAUUUUAGUCUAAUAUUUACCGUGACCAACUAUUAGUCUUAGUAUUAUUAUUAUUAUAUAAGCGUUAAACAAUAUUUUCCAACCACUAUGUACAGACAGGGGCCAGACAUAAAACACCGGAGGGCAGGACCAUUUUGGCAUAUAGCACUUCUGAAAUCCAACAACCCUAUGCGGCCCUUUAAACCAGAUUCCCCGUACCGCGAGUAGUUAAAAAAAAUAUUAUAACGACACUUAUAUAAGUUAUAAUAAUAGCUCAAAUAUUUAUUAUAAGUUCAUAAUAACAAUACUAAUUUUAAAUAUAAGCUAUAUUAAAAUAAGGUAAGCAUAACUUACUUACAAGGGGGUUUUAGCUAGGAGUCGGGCUCUGCAGGGGCAGAACUUCGUCGCUGAAUCUUUCUAAGAAAGAUUCGUGCAGCGCUUCAGCGCUCACCUUACUAUACUAAGCUACAGAAAGAGAAGUCGAAUCACGAGGGACCGAAAUGCUCGGGGGAUAAGGAGAGAAAGACUCUUGAAUCAAGAGAAUGGUGCAAGAAAUAUGAGAGCCCAAGGCUCUUAUUUAUACUAAUUGAAUUUUCAAAAACUACCCUCCAUAAUUACUUAAUGACCUUUUAGUUAUAUAAACAACUAAACACCCCUCUAUAAUACUAUUAUAAAUGGAUUUAAUGAUAUUUGUACUAAACUAAUGUCGAAAGAACUCAACAUUAGUCUUAUAAUGACCGCAUCGUCGAUACCUUUCUAAUGAUAUAUACAUAUGUAUAUAUAUGUGUACGUAUACAUGAUUUAUACUUUAUUUUAAUACGUAAAUAUGCUAUUAUAAUUUGUAACUCGUUCAUACGAACUCCGUUUUUGACGUUCUUUAUAUCCACGCGUAGGUGAAGACGUACUCUACAACUUUCGUUUAGACUCCGUCGGCUAAUUUUGACUUUAUUUUUAAAGUUAUAUUUUUAACAAGCCGGGACAGGAUUGGUCUGUUUAAAAUCUCAUAACUUCUUCAUACGAAGUCAGAUUUGGGCGUUCUUUUUAUCGAUGUUCUUAGUUUAACAUAUUCUACGACUUUCGUUUAGAUCACUAAGGCUAAAUCUCGCUCUAUCGUAAAUUCACUAUUCACGCUUCCCGGUAUCGUGCCGGUUCUGUCGUGAAACUUCGACGGGUCAUAACUUCUUCGUUAUAACUCGGAUUUCGGCGUUCCUUAUAUGCACGGAAACCUUGAGACAUAUUCUACAACUUUAUGUAGAGAUAUCGGGAUUAUCUCACACUUUAAUUUUGACGCUCAUUUUUAUUCUUUAUUAAUUAUACAUUUAUAAUUAAAUAAUAAACACAUAUAAUUCACAUAAUACUCAAAUAUUUCAUCUUUAUUACUUCAAAAAGAGUUACAAGAGUUGACCUAGACUAUUACAUUGACAAAAAUGCUUAGCCCUGAAACCCGGGCGUUACAAUUCUCUCCCCCUUAGGAUGAUUCCGUCCCGGAAUCAUGCAUCAGCAAACAGAUGUGGAUAGCGACUCAUCAUGUCAUCCUCUGUUUCCCAAGUGAGAUUCGGCCCAUUCGAAUGUUUCCAUCGGACUAGCACCAAGUCGACCAUCUUGCGUCGUAACUUCUUAGUCUUACGGUCAACAAUUGCCUCAGGCUCUUCGAUCAACCUUUUAUUUUCAUCCAUCCUUAACUCUGAGAUUGGAAUUAUGUCGGGAACAUCUCCCGUGAAUUUCCUCAAAUAACACACAUGGAAGGUGUUAUGAAUACCAUUGAGUUCUUCGGGCAAUUCCAGCUUGUAAGCUUGGUUCCCUAUCUUCUGAAGAACUUUGAACGGUCCAAUAAACCUUGGACUCAACUUUCCUCGUUUCCCAAAUCGUAUAAGUCCCUUCCACGGUGAGACUUUAAGCAAAACGGAAUCCCCAACUUCGAAAGUUAUCGGUCGUCUUUUCUUGUCAGCAUAGCUCUUCUGACGAUCCUGGGCUGCUAACAUCCUUUCCCUAAUCACCUUCAACUUCUCAGCAGUCUCAUGGACUAUCUCGGGGCCCAUAAACUGCUUCUCUCCGGCUUCAAGCCAACAAGACGGCGUACGACACUUCUGCCCAUACAAGGCUUGAUAAGGAGCCAUCUUGAUGCUCGAGUGAAAACUAUUGUUGUAGGAAAAUUCUACCAGAGGUAAGUGCUCGUCCCAAUUCCCUUGGAAUUCGAGGGUACAUGCUCUCAGCAUAUCUUCCAGCGUCUGAAUCGUUCUUUCGCUCUGACCAUCAGUUUGCGGAUGAUAAGCAGUACUCAAACACAACUUUGUACCUAACUCCUCUUGUAGACUCCUCCAAAACCUUGACGUGAAACGACUAUCACGAUCUGAUACAAUCGUAAGAGGGACACCGUGAAGUCUUACAAUUUCCUUCACGUAAGCAUUUGCGAGCUUAUCCAUAGACCACUUCUCGUUGGCUGCUAUGAAGUGUGCACUCUUGGUGAAACGAUCCACGACUACCCAAAUCAUGUCGUGACCGUUCUUCGUCCUGGGCAGUUUAGUCACAAAAUCCAUGGUGAUGUCUUCCCAUUUACCCAUGGGUACAGGUAAAGGUUCUAAACUCCCAUACGGUUUCUGAUGUUGUGCCUUAACCCUCGCACAUGUUACGCACUCGGCCACAUACUUCGCAACAUCGAGCUUCAUCGUCGGCCACCAGUAGUAGGGUUUUAGGUCCCUAUACAUUUUAGUGCUACCGGGAUGAAUCGAGUACAUGGUCUUGUGUGCUUCUUCCAUCAGAAGAUCUCUUAUUCCUCCCGUCUUAGGUACCCAAAUUCGAUCUUGGAAUACCUUCAGUCCUCGACUGUUUGUACCAAACACUAACGUUCUUCCCAAACGUUCUUCCUUUCGGUCAUUUUUCUCUAAAGCUUCUUCUUGAGCUUUCCUGAUACUUUCCACAAUCGUCGAGACGACUUCAAUUCUUAACGCUCUUGGCCUUUUCCUUUCCAGAUUGACUUUCCGACUGAGAGCAUCAGCAACAAUAUUUGCUUUACCUGGGUGGUAAAGUAUCUCACAGUCGUAGUCCUUGAGAAGUUCUAGCCAGCGUCGUUGCCUCAUGUUCAACUCCUUCUGAUUAAAGAGAUACUGGAGACUCUUAUGAUCAGUGAAGAGCUUGCACUUCGUGCCGUAGAGGUAAUGCCUCCAUAUCUUUAAGGCAAAAACUACCGCUGCCAACUCCAGAUCAUGAGUGGGGUAGUUCUUUUCGUGCUCUUUCAAUUGUCGAGAUGCGUAUGCUAUCACCUUUUCUCUUUGGGUCAGAACACAACCCAACCCGACUCCAGAAGCGUCACUAUAAACCGCGAAAUCUUCGACUCCAUCGGGUAGAGAAAGUAUCGGUGCUUCACAUAACUUCUUCUUUAGCUUCUCGAAUGCCUCAUCGUGUUUCUCACUCCACGUAUACGUAGCUCCUUUAUGAGUCAAAGCUGUUAAUGGAGCAGCUAUCGAAGAAAAGCCUUGGAUAAAUCGUCGAUAAUAUCCGGCUAAUCCUAGAAAGCUUCGAAUCUCCGUGGGACUCUUUGGACGUUCCCACUUCAUUACAGCCUCGAUCUUUGCGGGGUCAACCAUUAUUCCCUCCUGGUUAACAACAUGACCCAAGAAUUGGACUUCCCGUAUCCAAAAGUCGCAUUUGGAGAACUUUGCAAAAAGCUUCUCCUUCUUCAACACUUCUAAUACUUCCCGUAGAUGCUUGCCAUGCUCCUCUUGGCUUUUCGAGUAGAUGAGAAUGUCGUCGAUGAACACUAUCACGGAUUUAUCGAGGAAUGGUUUACAAACCCUAUUCAUCAAAUCCAUGAAUGCUGCGGGAGCAUUGGUUAGCCCGAAUGACAUAACCAAGAACUCGUAGUGUCCAUAUCUCGUUCUGAAUGCAGUCUUCUCAAUAUCCUGCUUUCUCACCUUUAGCUGAUGAUAUCCUGACCUAAGAUCGAUCUUUGAGAAGUAGCUCGAACCUUGCAGCUGAUCGAAUAGGUCAUCAAUCCUCGGCAAUGGAUACUUGUUCUUCACCGUUGCCUUAUUCAGCUCUCGGUAGUCUAUACACAUUCUCAUACUUCCGUCCUUCUUCUUCACGAAUAACACCGGAGCUCCCCAGGGUGAUGAACUAGGUCGAAUAAAACCGUUGUCCAACAGCUCCUGAAGUUGCGUCAUGAGCUCCUUCAUCUCCGUCGGUGCUAAUCGGUAAGGUGCCUUUGCUAUCGGUGUUGUUCCUGGUAACAAGUCUAUACGAAACUCCACUUGUCUAUCAGGUGGUAAUCCGGGAAGAUCUUCGGGAAAGACUUCCGGAUAAUCGCACACAACUGGUAUAUUCUGCACCUCUUUCUUUUCCUUCUUAGCAUCGAUUACGAAUGCCAAGUAUGAUGCACAUCCUUUGGACAAACAUUUCCUGGCUUUCAUCAGGGAGAUGAUUCCAGAAUUCACUCUGCGUUUGUCCCCGUACACCAUAAAUGAUUCCUUUCCGGGUGGGUUCACCCUUACUAUCUUCUUUCGACAUUGAAUCUCAGCAUCGUUGGCGCUAAGCCAAUCCAUACCCAAAACGAUGUCGAAACCGUUUAACUCUAUGGGUAAUAGCUCUUCGUGGAAUUCGUUUCCGUUUAGGUCGAUGACGAUGUUCCUAAUACGAUCACUAACAGGUACGAAUUUGCCACUGACAACUUCUACAAUCAGGGCAUUAUCAAGUUUUUCUACAGGCAAUGCUAAUUUCCCACAAAAUUUAUGCGACACAAAGGAGUAGUUGGCUCCCGAAUCAAAUAGUAUAUUUGCAGGCAAACCAUUUACAAGAAAGGUACCUGAAACGACGUCUACUGCCUCCUUCGUAGCCUCGAGCGUCAUCUGGAAGGCUCUCGCCUUCGGAUUUGGUGGUAUGUUGGGUCUUCCUGCCUCCUUCUUCUUCGGGCAAUCCUUUGAAAUGUGCCCCUCCUCGUUGCACUCAUAACAGACCUUCUUAGUGAACGUGCAUUCGUUGGCGUAGUGCCCAGGCUUUCCGCAUUUGAAACAAGUGACCCCUUCGUCACACUUUCCAGAGUGCUUCUUCUUGCACUUGUCACACCACUUCGCUUCUGAUCCUCCUCCUCUCAAACCAGACUUCGAGAAUCUACUCUUCUUGUUAGACUUCGAGGAUCCAUCAAACUUCCGUUUCUCACCAACCUCAGCCCUUUCCAGACCUCUUUCCUUUUGUUGGGUCUCCACAUUCUUAGCUGCCAAGAUGGCGGCUUUCAGAGUGGUAUUUUGCUUGACCAUUGGACAAAAGUCCGCUGAUAAUCCGAGGGCAAAUUUGUUAAACUUGGAGAGUUCAGUUGGGACGAGGUGAGGAACAAGCUUCAUUUUCUCAGUAAAGCUUGUAGCGUAUUCAGUAACGUUCAUGCUAGUACUAAAGGUGAAUUUAGAUCUUUAUUUAGGAUAAACGUUUAAAUCGUCCUUAUCACUCCGAAACGUUUACAUGCUAGUUCUAAUAUCGUAGUCGUACGUUUAGAAUCCUAAACACAUAAGGUUUCCAGAUCCGGUCGGCAACAGACCAUAGAUCCGAACAAAUAACAGUAUAUCAUGCACAAAGCAUUUAGCACAUAAAAGCAUUUUAGGCACAAUUCCUAAAAUAAGCUAGUGCUCACACCUCACAAUCAUCGCUUAGCAUUCUAAGUUUAAGUCUAGAAAUCCUACAAAUUCCUAGUUCGCUUAAACUAAUGCUCUGAUACCAACUGUGACAUCCCCAAAAUCACGGCCAGAAAAGACCGAUUUGUUUAUGCUUUGUUUAAAAAUCAGAGUUACAUUUUAAAUGAAAGUGUUGCGGAAUUUGUCCCAAAACAAAAAUAUGAUAAAGAUUUAUCAAAAGCAUUUCCAUAGAAAUGUAUUUCAUUAAAAGACUCGGGAUGUCAUGUUCGUACAGAUCAAAAGCAUAAACAGUACAAUAUAAGCCUUACUACAUUAUUUCAUAUCUACAGGCCUAUAUCCGUAAUCCCUCGUCCAAAACAUCACACCUAUGCUCAUGCGCCACUACCUGUAAUACAUAAAACUGAGUGGGUCAGGCUUGGGAGCCUGGUGAGCACAUAGGGUUUUCAACCCACAAUAAAUAAGUUUAUUAAUUUCAUCGAUCAACAAUAACCCGAUUACCCGUUCCCGUUAUCCUCACUUUACGUCCCUAAACACCUAUCAUAAGGGACCUAGCCUAAGGAUCAUCAUCGGGACGGACACUACUGCUAAGGGGAUUCCUCAGCAAUAAAUGUCCUAAAGGCAACCAUGUGGGGGAUGGAGUACACCGGUGAACAUAUCGUUCACAAACACCUACAGGUUGCGAGCCUGCU
RNAcentral lists this long non-coding RNA (6923 nucleotides) under Lactuca sativa (garden lettuce). RNAcentral describes it as "long non-coding RNA (LSAT_LNC003910)". Lineage: Eukaryota; Viridiplantae; Streptophyta; Magnoliopsida; Asterales; Asteraceae. The record is from RNAcentral.